CCCUUAGAUGUUCUGGGCCGCACGCGCGCUACACUGACGCCUACAGCGAGUACUUCCCAGCCCCGAGAGGUGGCUGGUAAUCAGCAAUAGGCGUCGUGAUGGGGAUAGAUCUUUGGAAUUAUGGAUCUUGAACGAGGAAUGCCUAGUAAGCGCAGGUCAUUAGCCUGCGUUGAUUAAGUCCCUGCCCUUUGUACACACCGCCCGUCGCUCCUACCGAUUUCGAGUGGUCCGGUGAAUCUUUCGGACUGCGCGCGGCUUCGUGCCGUGUCGCGGAAAGUCAGGUAAACCUUAUCACUUAGAGGAAGGAGAANUCGUANCA
RNAcentral lists this ribosomal RNA (319 nucleotides) under uncultured eukaryote. RNAcentral describes it as "partial 18S ribosomal RNA". It matches the Rfam family "Eukaryotic small subunit ribosomal RNA", at positions 1470 to 1796 of the family's 1831-position model. The record is from RNAcentral.